RNAcentral lists this ribosomal RNA (996 nucleotides) under Triticum aestivum (bread wheat). RNAcentral describes it as "partial small subunit ribosomal RNA". Lineage: Eukaryota; Viridiplantae; Streptophyta; Magnoliopsida; Poales; Poaceae. The record is from RNAcentral.
AUGGAGAAGCGCGCGGAGGAGCUCCGGGGCCACAAUCGAGAAGCUCUCCGGUCCCUGGCGCAGGAGCGGGAGCGACUCGACGAGGAGCGCACGGCCUUCCUUCUCGAGAAGGCCGAAGCUGAGGAGGAGCAAAGGCUGGCUGCCAAGAAGCAGUUCGCGCGGGAAGGUGAACUAGUGCAGCGGAAGGCCAACCUCGACAGCUACGAGGAAGAGCUCGCCGAGCGCGAGCAGGCACUUGGCGGGGCGCUCAAGGAGGCAAAGGACGCCGCGACAAUUGCAGAGGCCGCCAAGAAAGAGCUGGAGGAGAAGGUGGCGCAGCUGGAGGCCAACAUUGGGAAGAGCGUCGAGGAGCUUGCCGCACUCAAGCGUGAACGUGAGAAGGAUGCUGCCGCCCACGGCGAGCUGCAAGGUCUUUUCGCUGAGAGGGGCAAGGAGCUCAGCGCCGCCAAGAAUUCCAAAGCAGACCUGGAGCUGAAGCUGGCCACGCUGUCGCAGACGCUGGAAGCCGCCAAGGAGCGGGAGAAGACCUUGUCAGAGAAGAUCAAGGCUGACGCGGCGCUGCUGGAGAGCAUUGCAGUUACCCAGAACUUGUUCAGAGACACUGUGGAGCACUGGACCGAGGGUCUGGUGAACAUUGCUGCAGUCAUCAAAGAGGAGCUGGCGCAGCUGGGGAUGGAGGACUUUGGGUAUCCUUCCGACGAGAGUCUUCAACCCAGCGCCAAGCUCAGCAUGUUCUUCAAGGGCGUGGCAACGGCACUCCAGCGGCUCCGGGAGAGGUUCCCGAAGCAGCUGGCCGACGAGUCGCGCAAAAUCUGCGCCGGGGCUCUCCAAAAGGUGCUGAUGAAGGUGGCCUUCCGCAAUCCAGGCCUCAGCUUCACCAACGUCCUCAGGUCCUUGCCGCCUGACGCCGAUCUAGAUGCACUCAAGGCCCUUGUCGCACCCAUUGUGGACAAGGUGAGCGAGAUCAAGAGGGUCGAGGGCGGACACGUAUACUAG